RNAcentral lists this ribosomal RNA (460 nucleotides) under uncultured bacterium. RNAcentral's name for it is "partial 16S ribosomal RNA". It matches the Rfam family "Bacterial small subunit ribosomal RNA", at positions 338 to 795 of the family's 1533-position model. The record is from RNAcentral.
CCUACGGGAGGCAGCAGUGAGGAAUAUUGGUCAAUGGACGAGAGUCUGAACCAGCCAAGUAGCGUGAAGGAUGACUGCCCUAUGGGUUGUAAACUUCUUUUAUAAAGGAAUAAAACGAGGCACGUGUGCCUUUUUGCAUGUACUUUAUGAAUAAGGAUCGGCUAACUCCGUGCCAGCCGCCGCGGUAAUACGGAGGAUCCGAGCGUUAUCCGGAUUUAUUGGGGUUAAAGGGAGCGUAGAUGGGUUGUUAAGUUAGUUGUGAAAGUUUGCGGCUCAACCGUAAAAUUGCAAUUGAUACUGGCAGUCUUGAGUACAGUUGAGGUAGGCGGAAUUCGUGGUGUAGCGGUGAAAUGCUUAGAUAUCACGAAGAACCCCGAUUGCGAAGGCAGCUUACUAAACUGUGACUGACAUUGAUGCUCGAAAGUGUGGGUAUCAAACAGGAUUAGAUACCCUUGUAGUC